CAGCUGAAUUUACAAACAAUGCAAGCGAUGUUAACCUACAACAUGAUCGCGAGACUGCCGAUUUCUUCCUGAUAUCUACGAGACUGCCAAUUUGAGCUGGAAGAUUUUUGUAGAACAGGCAAUUGAAUUGUCGUCUCCAUCAUUAAUUCAACCUAAAAACAAAUUUGUAGAGAUUAUAUAUAUAUAUAUAUAUAUUUAAUCUAAUUAUGAGCAUGAUUUAUGGCCGAGCAAUAUCUAAAAUGUACGCUUCAUGAAGUUCACAACAAAAGACAGUAAUAUAUGAUAUAUCAUACCAUCACUACCGUAUGGUUCAGUAUACACGAUAUUAUAUUUUGGUGACAAUUGUAAGUUUAGACUUUAAUAAUUUCAGUUCAUGAAAUUAAUCCCAAGAUCAUCUAGAUUCAUUAUAAUCCAACCAAAUAUACUUUAUAGAAAAAGUAGAAACACUUACCUUGAUCCAUGUUUCCUUUUAGUGUUUGUGAUGGAAAUGAGCUUGAUUUCUUCUUCUUUAACCUUUUCU
RNAcentral lists this long non-coding RNA (520 nucleotides) under Eutrema salsugineum. Its description in RNAcentral is "long non-coding RNA (ESAL_LNC000310)". Lineage: Eukaryota; Viridiplantae; Streptophyta; Magnoliopsida; Brassicales; Brassicaceae. The record is from RNAcentral.